UACGUAGGGUGCAAGCGUUGUCCGGAAUUAUUGGGCGUAAAGAGCGCGUAGGCGGUCUGGCGCGUCUGCUGUGAAAACUCAGGGCUUAACCCUGAGCUUGCAGUGGGUACGGGCAGACUAGAGUGCGGUAGGGGAGACUGGAAUUCCUGGUGUAGCGGUGAAAUGCGCAGAUAUCAGGAAGAACACCCGUGGCGAAAGCGGCUCUCUGGAACGGUACUGACGCUGAGACGCGAAAGCGUGGGGAGCGAACAGG
This 253-nucleotide ribosomal RNA is filed under the name uncultured bacterium. Its description in RNAcentral is "partial 16S ribosomal RNA". It matches the Rfam family "Bacterial small subunit ribosomal RNA", at positions 524 to 776 of the family's 1533-position model. The record is from RNAcentral.